AUGGCGAGUGGCGACACGCUGGACGAGUUCGCCGGCAAGCUCGGUGGGAUGGCAGCGCACUACGCGGCGCUCGGUGCAACGCUGGAGGACGCCGCGCUGGUAAAGAAGCUGCUCGACUCCCUGCCGGACCGCCUCUACGCGGCGGUGGCCGGGAUGGAGCAGUUCUGCGACGUGUCGACGAUGCCAUUCGAGGAAGCAUUGGGGCGCCUGAAGGCGUUCGACGAGCGGCUCCGGCGACGCGGGCAGGCAGGCGGCGAGCGGGCAGACGGCGAGCGGCUCAUGUUCACCGCAGCUCAAUGGCGGGCGCGCGAGCGGCGUCGAGGCGGUGCGCGCGGAGAGGACGACGACGACGGGGCGCGCAGCGAGGCGUCGGGCUUCGGCGGCAACAGACGAGGCAGGUGCUACAAGUGUGGUGAACGCGGGCAUUUCAAACGCGAGUGUCCGCAGCUCAAGAAGGCGCCGGCGGAGGGGCGAGCUCUGCUCGUGGACGACGUCGAGGAUGCCGGGCUGCUCUGA
This 516-nucleotide ribosomal RNA is filed under the name Triticum aestivum (bread wheat). Its description in RNAcentral is "partial small subunit ribosomal RNA". The record is from RNAcentral. Lineage: Eukaryota; Viridiplantae; Streptophyta; Magnoliopsida; Poales; Poaceae.